RNAcentral lists this ribosomal RNA (400 nucleotides) under uncultured bacterium. RNAcentral's name for it is "bacterial SSU rRNA". It matches the Rfam family "Bacterial small subunit ribosomal RNA", at positions 355 to 772 of the family's 1533-position model. The record is from RNAcentral.
UGGGGAAUCUUGCGCAAUGGGGGAAACCCUGACGCAGCGACGCCGCGUGGAGGAUGAAGGUCUUCGGGUUGUAAACUCCUUUUCUUGGGGAAAAUGGUGAUGGUACUCAAGGAAUAAGCCACGGCUAACUCUGUGCCAGCAGCCGCGGUAAGACAGAGGUGGCGAGCGUUGUUCGGAAUUACUGGGCUUAAAGGGCGAGUAGGCGUCCCGGUAAGUCAGCUGUGGAAUCUUUUUGCUUAACGAAAAAAUUGCAUCUGAAACUAUCGGGAUUGAGUCAGUGAGGGGAGGGCGGAAUUCCUGGUGUAGCGGUGAAAUGCGUAGAUAUCAGGAGGAAGGCCUGUGGCGAAGGCGGCCCUCUGGCACUGUACUGACGCUGAGGCGCGAAAGCGUGGGGAGCAAA